This 229-nucleotide long non-coding RNA is filed under the name Chinchilla lanigera (long-tailed chinchilla). RNAcentral's name for it is "lncRNA (ENSCLAG00000025119.1)". The record is from RNAcentral. Lineage: Eukaryota; Metazoa; Chordata; Mammalia; Rodentia; Chinchillidae.
CAGUGCUGUACAGUGGUCAGAGCAGUGGUGGCGAACCUAUGGCACAUGUGCCACAGCAGGCAUGCGGAGCCCUCUCUGUCAGCACGUGAGCCAAGUCUCCCCAGCAGCUGAGCAUGGGCUUUCUAGGAGCUUUGCCAAUCAAGAUCUUUAUGCUGACUGCUAAACUCAGUCCAAGAACCUUAGAAAACUACUGGACCACCUUACAUCUGUCUCAGAAAGUCCUGGGGUA